This 402-nucleotide long non-coding RNA is filed under the name Ananas comosus (pineapple). RNAcentral describes it as "long non-coding RNA (ACOM_LNC001405)". The record is from RNAcentral. Lineage: Eukaryota; Viridiplantae; Streptophyta; Magnoliopsida; Poales; Bromeliaceae.
AUUGUUUUAUAGAUGAAUGGAAUGAGACCUUCCAUUGUUGUUGUUGUUGUUGUUGUUGUUGUUGUACGUUGUUGUUUUGGUGUGUGAAGUUAAAGGGAAAUGAGAGGGUUUGUUAUGUAUUGGGUUUGAUCUUUUUUAUAGUUGGGGGAAACUACAAAAAGUUAUGAAAGUGGACUUGGUUUCCAUGUUGUUAAACUUUUUUGUAUUUCUGAAUUGUUUCUUAUUAUAUCGAUCUUUUAAAUAAUAUGAUGUAUGAAUAAGAGUGUUAAUUAAAUUUGUUACUAUAUAUUUUUGACUAAGUUUUAUUUUUAAAAAAUAAACUAAACGAACAGCUUGUUAUCUUUCCGGAAAAUAUAUAUAUAUGCGCUUCUUUUGGGUAUUAAUUUGAAGUAAGUUAUUGUG